Molecule: long non-coding RNA, 16361 nt
Filed under: Volvox carteri
Lineage: Eukaryota; Viridiplantae; Chlorophyta; Chlorophyceae; Chlamydomonadales; Volvocaceae
Description: long non-coding RNA (VCAR_LNC001802)
Source: RNAcentral
GUGACAAGUUCGAUCCGGUGAGCAGGCGUGGAAUACUUGUCGGAUAUGGGAACGGAGGACAGUACUGUGUGCUGUACGAGGACGGCAUUAUUGCCGUAGUUCACUUUGAUGAGUCUAAUGUCGGCCGGUGGCGUUAUGCCGGGGACUCCGAUUAUGAGUCCGAUGCCGAUGAGGAGGAUUUUCGCACUAGCCUGCCUGGUGAGGGAUCGCUGCCUAGGGCUGGUGAAGGGAUACCAGGUAGCACGGUCGGCGAGGGAUCACCACACAAGGCUCCAACACACGCACAUUGAGUAGUUCGGAUCGGUUGUAAGUUACGUGGUGAGUAGAUGCAGAGUCCAGAAACCAUUCCGUCGGAUGCUCGUUGUUGUUGUUGUUGUUACAGGGUGGUUAAGCUUCACCAGUGGCCUCCUUCCCGAGGCAAUUCCCUGCUCUCCCCUGCUAGAGGGGCACCCUAAGCCAUUCACCCCAUCCGACUUCAGAGUGUAUUCGUUGGGUUCGGCAACUCACCACCAGCAUCCAACCAAAUCUAGCGGAUCAACGGCGCGUCAACUUAGUUCCUUGUCAGCUCGCGAAUUGAUUUUAUCACGUCCUACACCGUCCACAAGAUGGGGGGCCAUCUCCCAUUUCAUCACCUCUCAAACACCCCGUGAGGCCGGCAGGCGGAUUUGAACCCAGACGCGCCGGGAUGCGACGGGAGCAGAAGCCAGGCCUUAACCUCUGCCAGCCGCCUGCCAGCCGCCUGCUGUUGUUGUAUGCUACGAACGCUACCUGCCGCAGAACACCUGGCCCCCUAGCUGAUCCACCGGAUCCUGGCUUGCUGCCGCUAGCUCCACUGCCACUGUUGUUGUAGCCACCCUUAUUUCCAGAAAUUGACGACUGCUUGAGCGCUUUAAGCUGCCUGCAGUCCUUUACCACGUGCCCAGGCUUAUUACAGUAGUAGCAAACGAUCUGCUUUCGACUGUGUCCCGAGCUGUUGUUAGCUGGCCCCCGGCUACCAUAACCAGGAUUAGAAGUGCCGAACGUUGAACCGCCGACAGAUGCAAACACUGCCGACUCGGUAGAUUUGCCUGACCCACCAUUUGCCGUCUCGAUAGCUAAAAGCUUCGAUGUGGCGUUCACCAUGUACAAAUCGCCGUCAUGCAUCAGUAGUGUUGUCGUCAUUGGGUAGACCAACUAGGACGGUAUACACCAGCUCAGAGUCGUUGAUUACGUGGCCGACACCCAACAAGUCCGUUUGCAGCUGCCUGGCACGCGCGAAAUACUUCGGAAGUGGCUCGCCGUCGACCAUUUUGAAGCGGCUGAAUUCUUGGCAUAGAGCCACCUUGCGGGCGUUGCUGUUGGCAGUGAACAUUGAGUUCAAGGCAUCCCAAGCCUUCUUCGCGUUGGGGGCACCGGUGACCAUCGGCAAAUGGUGAUCCUUCACGUUCUUGAUAAGCAGAUUGAUGACUUUCCGCGAUUGACGAAUCUGCUCCUCAUUGCACGGCUCGGCGAGCAAAGACUGCUCAAGCCCAAGGUCCAUGCACAUCGUGCUAAACCUGAUUUGCCACGUGGAGUAGCUGUGGAGGUCCAGCGGCUCAUCAAGCUUAUCCUUGAACAUUGUCGAUAAGGGAUAGAAAUACAAUCGGACAAUAGCUGUCAGCGCUAGUCAGGGCUGUUAAGGAAACGGCCCUCUCCCAACUCAUGAAGUUGUUGAGCAGGGGAUUUGACCUCGGGUCUGCGCUUGAUUUCAGGGGAAGUCUUACCCAAGAACUUUAUGGGGCUACCAAUUUAUCCGAUAGCUAAGUGAUAGACAUUUUGGCACCGUCAGGACGGCGCAGUGAGAUCACGGAAUGUACUUGCAGUGAGACCACGGAAUGUACAAGUUUACUGCUGCACCGGUAUUUAGGGUGGUGACUACACUUAUUUCUUUAUCUCACAAUGAUCGCUAUUCCUCAAACGGAAUCUGUUGAAGGGCGGUCCUAUCCCAACAUGGAUAGGUGGUAGGUAGAUAGGCGAUGAAUCCGCCAUGAUAGGCGAUGCCUCGGACGUGCCUCAACCUUGCCUCGGACAUGCCUCGACCUUGCCUCGGCCGUGCCUCGACCUUGCCUCGGGUCUCUCGGCCGCGUAUCUCGGACGUGUCCUCAGGUCCAGGGAUGGUGGACGACUGUACGAUACUUCCAUUGUAGACACGAGUUGUGCAAGUCUAAGUAUCUCAUCUUUGGAUGGAUCGGUAUUCCUUCAUAGGAAUCUCCUAAAGUCUUCCUACUGUUCACCACUAACCUACCGAUUGUAAUACUUACAUCGCAACCAGUCUCCUUGCCUCCUUCAUAUUCUCAACAGGUUAUGAGCCCCGCCUCACGCUAGUAGCUUACAUAGCUAGCGCGAAGAAGGCAUAGGACGGCUAUCGUCACCUCGAAGUUCUUGACUCUUGAGAUGGCAAGCGGUGGGUCUGGUACGCCUACCGAGUCGGCAGCUUUUGCUUCUGUCGGCAGUUUUUCAUAAGGCGCCUCUGGUUCUGGUCUUGAGAAUCGUGGCGCGGCCAGCAGCAGUUCUGGCGUUCCUCUCCGAGAGGUGAUUUGCUUCUAUUGCAGCAAGCCUGGGCCCAGCAAGGGAUCAGUUUUCCCGAAGCAGGUUGCGUUUGUAGCUUACAACAGUAAGCGUCUGAGGGAUCCUGGUCGAAUAUGGGAAUGAGUAUGCGUCUGAGGGAUCCUGGCCGACUAUGGGAAUGGAGGACAGUAUCGUGUUGUGUAUGUCUCCAACGUCUGCUUUGACGAGUUUAGUGUCGGUCGGCGGCAUAGUGCCAGGGAUUCCGAUGAUGGGUCCGAUGCCGACGAGGGUUGCACACUAGUGUUCCUUGAGGGGUCGCUGCCUAGGGCUGGCGAAUGGACAUGAGGCAAUACCGUCAGCGAGGGAUCGCCGCCAUUGUGUGCCGAAGGCAUCUCAGGCCCACAUGCAGACGACUGGCGGCAGUGAGUGCCACAAAAAUUCUGUAUCCGGUAGACCCCGCUGGAUAGCAUAGAUUGCAGCAGGCGAUCAUUUGCUGCAACUACAAACAGAUGGGCCGUAUAGCUCGGAGUUGAAGAGAAAGCCGCAGCCUAACGUGCAGGGAAGGAGUGGAGGUGGUCUUGGCGCCCGCACCCGCAUGUGGCAGGUGGGGGUAGCAUGCCUCAACAGACAGACGGUGGCGGCAGUGCAGUGAUGCCACGUAUUUUUGCUGCUCGAAAAGAGCAACUUUCUUGUUUAAGGGGAAUUGUCUGACUCCGAAGCGGCUAGUAUUGGUGUACCUAAGUCAGGGCCUCCGUAAGCUCUGGUAGACUCAGGAACCACAGUCGGCUAGGCACCACUGUCACCUGUGGAUGGUGAAGGAAUGCCGGAUGAAGCCGGAACAUCCAGUGGUGCAAGCCAACGCAGGAGUUCAGAGGAAGAGGGCAGGGAAUAUGAGGAGAUAUUAUAGCUAGGGCUGGGAAAAACACCGUAAUCCCAUAAAAUGGACCGUAAUUGCGAAAGGUGUAUUGAAGAAUUGGCGACGGUGACAGCUAACGCUAAUUGUUAUUCCGGAAGGAUUGCCGGUGGCGAAGAUAUUUAGCACGAUAAACUGUUACAAGUAAUGUAAAGAGUAUUGUUAGCGUUCGGCAGGACUUGAGGAGAUUCCUGGUAGGAAUACCGAUCGUUGUGAGAUAAACUAAUAGGCGCAGUCACCGCCCUAAAUACCGGCGCUAGCGGAAAACUCGUACAUUCCGCGAUCUAACUGCACGUACAUUCCGCGAUCUCACUGCGCCGUCCAGACGGUGCCCUAAUGUCUAUCACUUAGCUACCGGAUAUGCAUCGGUAGCCCCAUAAGGUUCUGGGGUAAGUCUUCCCCAUUAGUCAGGCGCAGACCCGGGGUCAAAUCCCCUGGUCGACAACCACACGAGUUGGGAGAGGACCGUUUCCUCAACAAGGUGUAAUGCGCAACGCCGUAAAUAAUGAAAUUUACGGUGGGUUCCGGGGCAAAGUGGACCGUAACGAUUUACGGUCCUCGUUGCCGGAGCCAAAUCCUUUCUUUUCUUUUAUAUAACGAUAUAUAAGCUUAUUUCAUACCUUUUUACAUAGUUUUAUCAGGGUUACUUGCACCUAAGCUUGUAUUUAGCCGCGAUAUGGGUGACAUCCAGCCAAAGACAAGCGGGCUUCCAUGCUGGUUGGCCGUGUGGGGCUCCUGGUGUACAUCUACUACAACUACCGUGUCCUUAACCGCAAGGCCCCUGUCAACAACAAGGAUUGGGACCAGUUCCUGGACUGGUUGAACAGCCUGUCCCCACUGACAGUAGAGGGCCAGCGGCAGCGGGACCACCUCGAGAACAGUGCAACUAAGGCCCAGGCGCCACCGCAGCAGCAGAACUGCACUGAGGAGGACGCCAGCAGCGAUGACGACGAAACGCCCCUGGCGAUACUGUCGAAGUAGCGGCAAUGCGCAGCCCAGGAGGCAGAGGCUGACACUGUUACGCAUGUUCGGCCCGUAUAUAUUAGGAGCAUCAUUCUUGGUUGAGGAUUUAGCAUAUGGCAUGAUGGCAUACAACAGAUGCAGUACUCGAUGCGCGCACGGUGCUCCGGUUGAAAUGUUUUCGCCUCAUUCAGUAUUUUUGGCUGUCUUUUGUGAUAGUUUAAUCAUAGGUUAAUGUAUAAUAAGCUUUUUAAGACUAUCCCGUAGCUCCAAGGGACGAAAUGGCAUGUUUCGAGGUGUGGUCGUCGGUAUUGGCUCGCACGCUUGCGGUCCGACCGUAAUUUGGACCUUUUGGUAACCGUAAUUGCAUUACACCGUAAGGACCGUCAUUUUACUGUGUUUUUGGGGGGUCACCGAAAUUGCGAAAGGUGUAAUGCGCAACUUCGUAAGGACCGUAACCGUAAUUCCCAGCCCUAAUUAUAGCCCUCGGAGUGGUGACAUGGUGUUGCAGGAAGGAGGAUAGUAGGUCGCAUUAACGUGGCUGUCACUGAUCCGUACCCUGCUGAACUUUUGCUGAGUAAUACUUUCACUGAAGCCAUUUCAGGUGCAAAUGCAAAUGAGUGGCGCAGAGUGAUGGUCGAGGAGAUUGCUGCAUUAGCAGCUAACGGUGUUUGUGUGCCAUGUGCACAGCCUCAUGAUGUGCGUGUGCUACUGUACCCGUGGGUGUACAAAUUGAAAACACUGGAAAAUGACAGUGUCAAGCGUUCUUUUGCAUGGCUAGUUGCAAAGGUGUACGAGAAGUACGAGACCUUGGAGAAGCGCAGGUGUUUUCGGACAUGGAAAUUAUGGGGAGAAGCCGGGCAAAUUGGUGUUGUCGCAAUGUAAGUAUAUUGAGCAGCUAUUGGAGCGUCAUCAGACGGUGGACGCCAAGCCACGAUCUACCCCUUUGCCUCCGUGUUUUAUGUGCACACCUACGGGGGAUACAGAUGAGCUGCUGGGUAAUCCCACGGAGUUUAGGGCUUUGGUGGGAGAGUUGAACUACCUAGCGACGAACACUCGGCCUGACAUUUCUUAUGCAUUGAGUGUUUUGUCCCGGCAUAUGGCCACACCUACGAAGACUGCCAUGAAUUUGGCCACUGACGCUCUGCGUUACCUGGCGGGUACUCGCGAACUAGGAUUGCGUUUUGGGGGUGUUGGCGGUGUUGCAAUGUCCGGGUACAGCGAUUCGGACUGGGCAGGAGACCCAGUUACGCAGCGUUUUACGUCCGGUUACGUAUUCACUCUUAAUGGGGCUGCGAUUAUCUAGAGCAGCCAACUUCAACGUACUGUGGCGGCUUCGUCGGUGGAGGCUGAGUACCAAGCUACAGCGGCGGCUGUUCGUGAAGCUUUGUGGCUUCACAAGCUGAUGGUCGAUUUGGGCUUGCCUGAGAGCGUGGUGAAAAUCCAGAUAGACUCCCAGGGGGCGCUUAGCUUGGGAAAUAAUCCGAUUACGUCUGCUCGGUCGAAACACAUCGACGUGCAGCACCACAUAGUGUGUGAGAGGGUGAAUAGCGGGGAGGUGCAGUUGGAGUACUGCCCUACAGAGUGGAUGGUAGCGGAUGCACUCACGAAGGCACUGGGAGAAGUGAAGUUCAAACGGUGCAGAGAAGCUAUGGGUGUUAUGUGAAGUGCCCAUUGGUGGAGCAAAUGUGCUACUGCGAGCUGGGAUAUGUCCCGAGGGGGCGUGUUGAAGGGCAGUCCUAUCCCAACAUAGAUAGGUGGUAGAUAGGCGAUGAAUCCGCCGUGAUAGGCGAUGCCUCGGACGUGCCUCAACCUUGCCUCGGAUGUGCCUCGACCUUGCCUCGGCCGUGCCUCGACCUUGCCUCGGGUCUCUCGGCCGCGUAUCUCGGACUUGUUCUCAGGUCCAGGGAUGGUGGACGACUGUUCGAUACUUCCAUUGGUACUGGUAUAUAAGACACGAGUUGUGCAAGUCUAAGUAUCUCAUCUUCGGAUGGAUCGGUAUUCCUUCAUAGGUAUCUCCUAAGGUCUUCCUGCCGAUCACCACUAACCUACCGAUUGUAAUACUUACAUCGAAACCAGUCUCCUUGCCUCCUUCAUAUCUCAACAGCAUCUCCUAAAGUCCUGCCGAACGCUAAUAUUACUUUUUACAUUACUUGUAACAGUUUAUCGUGUUCAAUAUCUUCGCCGCCGGCAUUCCUUCCGGAAUAACAAUCAGCAUCAGCUGUCACCGUCGCCAAUUCUUCAACAGGUUAUGAGCCCCGCCUAGCGCCGACAGCUAUCGUCCGAUUGUUAUUUCUAUCCCUUACGACAAUGGUCAAGGAUAAGCUUCAUGAGCCGCUGGACCUCCACAACUACUCCAUGUGGCAAAUACGGUUUAGUGUGAUGUGCAUAGAGCUUGGGCUUGAGCAGUCUUUGCUCGCCGAGCCGUGCAAUGAGGAGCAGAUUCGUCAAUCGCGGAAAGUCAUCAACUUGCUUAUCAAGAACGUGAAGGAUAACCAUUUGCCGAUGGUCACCGGUGCCGCAAACGCGAAGAAGGCUUGGGAUGCCUUGAACUCAAUGUUGGCUGCCAACAACAACGCCCGCAAGGUGGCUCUACGACAAGAAUUCAGCCGCUUCAAGAUGGUCGACGGCGAGCCACCUCCGAAGUACUUCGCGCGUGCGAGGCAGCUGCAAAGGGACUUGUUGGGUGUCGGCCACGUAAUCAACGACUCAGUAGCGUUGUCGUCACCACACUGUACCGAUUGGGUAGUUGGACGGACGAGCUUGGGGUUGUUCUUGCUUUGGUGCACGUAGAUGAUACCAUUGUUGCGUCGGAAGACCCGGAAAUGGUCCGGGCAAUUAAAGCCGCAAUUGUGAAGGUCUUCAAGGUGCGCGACCUUGGAGAAGCGAAGGUGUUUUGGGGCAUGGAAAUUAGGAGGGAGAAGUCGGGUGAGAUAGUGUUGUCGCAGCAUAGGUAUUGUUGAAGGACGGUCCUAUACCAACGUAGGUAGGUGGUAGUUAGGCGAUGAAUCCGCCAUGAUAGGCGGUGCCUCGGACAUGCCUCGACCUUGCCUCGGCCGUGCCUCGACCUUGCCUCGACCUUGCCUUGGGUCUCUCGGCCGCGUAUCUCGGACGUGUCCAGAGGUCCAGGGAUGGUGGACGACUGUACGAUACUUGCAUUGGUAUCGGUACAUAAGACCAGAGCGAGUUGGGAUAUGUCCCGAGGGGGCGUGUUGAAGGGCGGUCCUAUCCCCNNNNNNNNNNNNNNNNNNNNNNNNNNNNNNNNNNNNNNNNNNNNNNNNNNNNNNNNNNNNNNNNNNNNNNNNNNNNNNNNNNNNNNNNNNNNNNNNNNNNNNNNNNNNNNNNNNNNNNNNNNNNNNNNNNNNNNNNNNNNNNNNNNNNNNNNNNNNNNNNNNNNNNUUCCUACUAAGGAAUAGCGAUCCAUACAAAGAUGAGAUAAUAAGACUAGCACAACUCGUGUCUUAUAAACCAGUACCAAUGGAAGUAUCGUACAGAUGUCCACCAUCCCUGGACCUGAGGUCACGUCCGAGAUACGCGGCCGAGAGACCCGAGGCAAGGUUGAGGUACGGCCGAGGCAAGUCGAGGCAUGGCCGAGGCAAGGUCGAGGCACGGCCGAGGCAAGGUCGAGGCACGGCCGAGGCAAGGUCGAGGCAAGUAAUAUAUUCCUUUUAAGGAAUAAAGAGGCCAUUUUGGCCUUUGGAAAUAAGGAACAAAUCGAGGCCGAUUCGUACAUUUUCAUUCCACCAGCCAAAAAUGUCCAUUGCUGCCAGAUUGCUCCGUAGUGUGCAGAACUUAGUAUUAUCGAUCAUAGAAUAGAUAUGAGGGGCCGUAAGAAGGUCAACCCCGUGAGUCAAUGUAUGACCGGUCCUUACAUAGCGAAACACGCAAAAGGCAACGACUUGAACGCCGAACAAACACCAAAACAGCAAGAUAAGCCUGAAAUAUUUCCUCAUAAAAGCGUUUGGGACGGCGGUGCUGUUGUCGGUAAUGCAUCGGCAAUGGUGUUGCUGCCAGCGGCGACCGAUGACCCGGGCGCCAUUACCCCUGCCUUCCAUGGCGGUUUUGAUCAGCAUAAGCGCCCAAUCAGCUCGACAACAACGAAUGCGACGAGGCGCCCAACCCGAGCGCUCGCAGUGCCAAGCGGGCUCAGACACAGCACAUCCGCAAGGGCCAGAGCGACAGUGCAUGGCGGGACAAGCAGAAAGAAAAUCCCUACAGAUGGCAGAUUGCCUGGGCCGCCGGGUAUCCCUGGGCCCAGCCUGUGCAUGCUGACGUGGACGCCGGAGAAGUGCACGACCAAGUGCGCUGCAUCCCCUGCACGUUGACUGAGGAAGUGGCUGGACAGCAGCAGCAGGGGCCGGUACAUGAUGAACCGGUAGAGUCCUAGUGUGCUGUGGUUUGCAGUGGCGGGUGACGGCCUUUGAUUUGCUAUGCGGUUGCUUGCUUUGGGCCUUUGCUUGGUCGGAUUUACUUUUUGUUCACAAACAGUGCCAGAACUAUCUAUGCAUGUGCAUGAAGAGUGCGCACAUGAACGAAAACGCGCCAACGCAGUGCGUGCCUCUUGGUCUAUGAGGGGAGUUGUAACUUAUCGGGGGGGGGGUCUGGGGGGGUUAUGACGGCAGUGCAAUGAUGCCACGUAUUUUUGCUGCAAGAAAAGAGCAACUAUCUUGUUUAAGGGGAAUUGUCUAACUCCGAAGAGGCUAGUAUUGGUGUACCUGAGUCAGGGCCUCUGCCAAGCUCCGUAGACUUAGGAAACACAGUUCCCCUUAAACAAGAUAGUUGCUCUUUUCUUGCAGCAAAAAUACGUGGCAUCAUUGCACUGCCGUCAUCGCCUGUCUGUUGAGGCAUGCUACCCCACCUGCCACGUGCGGGUGUGGGCGCCAAGACCACCUCCACUCCUUCCUUGCACGUUAGGCUGCGGCUCUCUCUACAACUCCGAGCUAUACGGCCGGUCUGUUUGUAGUUGCAGCAAAUGAUCGCCUGCUGCAAUCCAUGCUAUCCAGCGGGGUCUACCGGAUACAGAAUUUUCGCGACACUCACUGCCGCCAGUCGUCUGCAUGUGGGCCUGAGAUAGCUUCGGCAUAAAAAGUUAGGCUCUGAAUCCCAGCAGAUACUGCAGCAAUGACUCGGCCUGUAGCACUACCACCAGGUAUACUCCGUCACCACUCGCCAGGACGUUUGCAUUCCCUAACUGAAUACCGAGCCCCCAGCAUUUCCACAUCAGGGUAUGUAUUUCCUUGCACAUUCACACUUCUGGGAGGUCCAGCCCCAGCCGGCGCCCCCUCACCACACAAAUGCGGCGGUCCCUCGCUGACGGUAUUGCCUGAUGUCCAUUCGCCAGCCCUAGGCAGCGACCCCUCACCAGGCAAGCUAGUGUGCAACCCUCGUAAGUAUCGGACCCAUCAUCGGAAUCCCUGGCAUUGUGCCUCCGGCCGACAUUAAACCCAUCAAGGCAGACAUUGGGGACGUACACAACACGAUACUGUCCUCCAUUCUGAUAUUCGGCCAGGAUCCCUCAGACGCUUACUGUUGUAAGCUACAAACGCAACCUGUUGAGGAAACGGUCCUCUCCCAACUCGUGUGGUUGUCGACCAGGGGAUUUGACCCCGGGUCUGCGCCUGACUAAUGGGGAAGACUUACCCCAGAACAUUAUGGGGCUACCGAUGCAUAUCCGGUAGCUAAGUGAUAGACAUUAGGGCACCGUCUGGUCGGCGCAGUGAGAUCGCGGAAUGUACGUGCAGUUAGAUCGCGGAAUGUACGAGUUUUCCGCUAGCGCCGGUAUUUAGGGCGGUGACUGCGCCUAUUAGUUUAUCUCACAACGAUCGGUAUUCCUACCAGGAAUCUCCUCAAGUCCUGCCGAACGCUAAUAAUACUCUUUACAUUACUUGUAACAGUUUAUCGUGCUAAAUAUCUUCGCCACCGGCAAUCCUUCCGGAAUAACAAUCAGCGUUAGCCGUCACCGUCGCCAAUUCUUCAAUAGGUUAUGAGCCCCGUUUAGCGCCGACAGCUAUCGCCCAAUUGUUAUUUCUAUCCCUCAUCGACAAUGGUUAAGGACAAGCUUGAUGAGUCGCUGGACCUCAACAACUACUCUACCUGGCAAAUUCGGUUUAGCGCGAUGUGCAUGGAGCUUGGGCUUGAGCAAUCCCUGCUCGCCGAGCCGUGCAACGAGGAGCAAAUUCGACAGUCACGGAAGGUCAUCAAUCUGCUCAUCAAGAACGUCAAGGAUCAUCAUUUGCCGAUGGUUACCGGUGCUGCCAACGCGAAGAAGGCCUGGGACGCCUUGGGAUCUAUGUUUGCUGCCAACAACAACGCACGCAAGGUGUCUCUACGUCAAGAAUUCAGCCGUUUUAAGAUGGUCGACGGCGAACCUCUUCCGAUGUACUUUGCGCGUGCAAGGCAGCUGCAAACAGAUUUAUUGGGAGUCGGCCACGUAGUUAACGACUCCGAGCUGGCGUACACCGUGCUAGUUGGUCUACCCAGUCGGUACAGCGUGGUGACGACUACAUUACUUAUGCGCGACGGCGAUUUGGACAUGGCGAGCGUCACAGCAAAGCUUCUCUCUAUCGAGACGGCUAACGGUGGGUCGGGCAAGCCUACCGAGUCGGCAGCCUUCGCGUCUGUCGGCGGUUCGACGUUCGGCGCUUCUACUUCUGGUUAUGGUAGCCGGGGGCCGGCUAACAACAGCUCGGGACAUAGUCGGAAGCAAGUCAUCUGCUACUACUGUAAUAAACCUGGGCACGUGGUUAAGGACUGCAGGCAGCUUAAGGCGCUGAAGCAGUCGUCAAAUUCUGGCUACAAGGGUGGCUACAGCAACAAUGGUAACGGAGGUAGUGGCAGCGGAGCUAGCGGCAGCAAGCCAGGAUCCGGUGGAUCAGCUAGGAGGCCAGGAGUUCCGCGGCAGGUAGCAUUCGUGGCAUACAACAGCAAUCGUCCGACGGAAUGGUUUCUGCCGCCACUCACCACAUAACGUAUGACCGCUCAGAACUUUUCAACGUGCGGUUGUUGGAGCCGUGGGAGCGCUUCAACAUCAUGGGCAUCAAGGGACAGUCUCUUCGACCGACUGAAGUUGGCACGCUUACGAUUCGGUCUAACGUCAACGAUAAACAGGCCAUCACUUUCAAGAAGGUCUACGUCGACGAGGAGGCCACCGCCAAAAUCAUAUCGGUACGCAUCAUUGAUGAUCGUGGAGGCAGUGUGGUCUUCGGCGGCGGACAGGCGAAAGUAUACGUACAGAACCAGUUGGUGCUGACUGGAAAGCGGGAUGGGGACUUGUAUCCCGUCUGCUACAGCAGUGGAGGUACGGGAGCUCUGAAGAGGACGCAGCGUGAAGACAACAGGAUACCUUCUGGUGGUGAUGCAGUGUGUGCUGCCGUGGGUAUCGGAGCUGAACGUGCAGCACUUUGGCACCGAAGGUAUGGCCACUUGGGAUACAGCAACCUUGAGACGUUGCUGCGUCAUAAUAUGGUAGCUGGAUUUGAUGUUGACCGACACAGCAUACAAUCAGCCAGCACGUGUGUGUGUGAGACUUGCGUCCUUGCUAAACAUACACNNNNNNNNNNNNNNNNNNNNNNNNNNNNNNNNNNNNNNNNNNNNNNNNNNNNNNNNNNNNNNNNNNNNNNNNNNNNCGAACGGAGCUGCAGAACGUUAAAUCGCACUCUUUUGGACAAGACUAGGGCUAUGCUAGUUGAGUCUGGACUGCCUAAAUCAUUAUGGGCGGAGGCGUUAGCGACAGCCAACUAUCUUAGGAAUGUGUCGCCAACUGCUGGGUCAACCGUCAAUCCGUACGAAGCUUUCUUUAAUGUUCGUCCGAACGUCAGUCACCUGCGAGUCUUUGGAUGCGUUGCCUACGUCCACGUACCCGACGUCAAGCGCGACAAGUUCGACCCGGUGAGCAGGCGUGGAAUACUUGUCGGAUACGGGAACGGUGGACAGUAUCGUGUACUAUACGAGGACGGCAUUAUUGCCGUAGUUUCUAACGUUCGUUUUGACGAGUCUAAUGUCGGCCGGCGGCGUAAUGCCGGGGACUCCGACUAUGAGUCCGAUGCCGACGAGGAGGAGGAGUUUCACACUAGUUUAUCUGGUGAGGGAUCGCUGCCUAGGGCUGGCGAAGGGACACCAGGUAGCACCGUCGGCGAGGGAUCGCCGCAUUUGGGUGGCGAGGGGGCGCCGGCUGGGGCUGGACCUUCCAGCAGUGCGAACGGGCAAGGAAUCAAUCAGCCUGAUGUGGAAAUGGCGGGAACUAGGUACCCAGUUAGAGAGCGUAAACGCCCUGGCGAAUGGUGGCGAAACGAACCUGGUCGCACUGUCACUGGUCGCGUUAACGCUGCUUUCUCUGCUGGUAUUCCUGAGCCUAAUUCGUUUGAGGAAGCAAUUGCAAGUCCACAUGCAGACAACUGGCGGCGUGCGAUGGACGAGGAGAUCGCCGCCCAGAUGGCUAAUAGUACUGGGAGCGAAGAAGCCACCUCCUGGUACUCGUUUGUUGCCGUGUCGUUGGGUAUAUAAGGUUAAGUACAGCGAUGACGGCAGUGUGGAGCGUUUUAAGGCGCGUUUAGUUGCCAAGGGUUUCGAGCAACGUGAGGGGAUUGAUUAUGGGGAGUUGUUUGCCCCUACCUCUCGUGGUUCGUCAUUGCGUGCUUUAUUAGCAGUUGCCGCAGCCCGGAACAUGACGGUACAUCAGCUCGAUGUGUCUACUGCGUUUUUGAACGGUGAGCUGAAGGAGGAAUUGUGGAUGGAGCAACCGCCUGGGUAUGCAUCCAGUGACCGGUCGCUUGCGUGCAAGCUGCAGAAGUCUAUUUACGGUUUAAAGCAGGCACCCCGUUGCUGGUAUGAAAAACUAUCAGCAGAGUUCGCCAAGCUGGGUCUUUAUCCUUCGAAGUCUGAUCCGGCGAUGUUCGUUAAGACUGACGAGCGUGGGGUUGUUAUUGCUUUGGUACACGUAGAUGAUACAAUUGUUGCGUCAGAAGACCCGGAAAUGGUCCGGGCAAUUAAAGCCGCAAUUGCGAAGGUCUUCAAGGUGCGAGACCUUGGAGAAGCGAAGGUGUUUUUGGGCAUGGAAAUUAGGAGGGAGAAGUCGGGUGAGAUAGUGUUGUCGCAGCAUAGGUAUAUUGCGCAGCUAUUGGAGCGUCAUAAGUUGGUUGACGCCAAGCCGAGGUCUACCCCUUUGCCUCCGGGCUUUAGGUACACUCCUAAGGUAGAAGGAGAGGAGCUGCUGGGCAAUCCCACGGAGUAUAGGGCUUUGGUGGGAGAAUUGAACUAUCUGGCGACGAACACGCGGCCUGACAUUUCUUAUGCAUUGAGUGUUUUGUCCCAGCAUAUGGCCACACCUACGAAGACUGCCAUGAACUUGGCCACUGGCGUUCUGCGUUACCUGGCGGGUACUCGCGAACUAGGAUUGCGUUUUGGGGGUGUUGGCGACGUUGCUAUGUCCGGGUACAGUGAUUCGGACUGGGCAGGAGACCCAGUUACGCGGCGUUCUACGUCCGGUUACGUAUUCACUCUUAAUGGGGCUGCGAUUAGCUGGAGCAGCCAACUUCAACGUACUGUGGCGGCUUCGUCGGUGGAGGCUGAAUACCAAGCUACAGCGGCGGCUGUUCGUGAGGCUUUGUGGCUUCGCAAGCUGAUGGUUGAUUUGAGCUUGCCUGAGAGCGCGGUGAAAAUCCAGAUAGACUCCCAGGGGGCGCUUAGCUUGGGAAACAACCCGAUUACGUCUGCUCGGUCGAAGCACAUCGACGUGCAGCAUCACAUAGUGCGUGAGAGGGUGAAUAGCGGUGAGGUGCAGUUGGAAUACUGCCCUACGGAAUGGAUGGUUGCGGAUGUGCUAACGAAGGCUCUGGGCGAGGUGAAGUUCAAACGUUGCCGAGAUGCUAUGGGCCUUGUGUGAAGUGUGCAGAUGAACUUGGUACUCGUUGGGAUACGGCCCGAGGGGGCGUGUUGAGGAAACGGUCCUCUCCCAACUCGUGUGGUUGUCGACCAGGGGAUUUGACCCCGGGUCUGCGCCUGCCUAAUGGGGAAGACUUACCCCAGAACCUUAUGGGGCUACCGAUGCAUAUCCGGUAGCUAAGUGAUAGACAUUAGGGCACCGUCUGGUCGGCGCAGUGAGAUCGCGGAAUGUACGUGCAGUUAGAUCGCGGAAUGUACGAGUUUUCCGCUAGCGCCGGUAUUUAGGGCGGUGACUGCGCCUAUUAGUUUAUCUCACAACGAUCGGUAUUCCUACCAGGAAUCUCCUCAAGUCCUGCCGAACGCUAAUAAUACUCUUUACAUUACUUGUAACAGUUUAUCGUGCUAAAUAUCUUCGCCACCGGCAAUCCUUCCGGAAUAACAAUCAGCGUUAGCCGUCACCGUCGCCAAUUCUUCAAUACAACCUGCCUCGGGAAAACUGAUCCCUUGCUAGACCCACCGGGCCCAGGCUUGCUGCAAUAGAAGCAAAUCACCUCUUGGAGAGGAACGCCAGAACUGCUGCUGGCCGCGCCACGAUUCCCAAGACCAGAACCAGAGGCGACAAACAAAACACUGCCGACAGAAGCAAUAGCUGCCGACUCGGUAGGCUUACCAGAGCCACCGCUUGCCAUCUCGAUAGUCAAGAACUUCGAGGUGACGAUAGUCAUGUCCGAAUCGCCGUCACGCACCAGUAGGGAUGUCGUUACCAUGCUGAAGCGGCUGGGCAAACCAACAAGCAAAGUGUGUGCCCGCUCAGAAUCGCUGAUAACGUGUCCUACUCCCAAACAAGUCCGACUGUAGUUGCUUGCAGGCGUCCUAUGCCUUCUUCGCGUUAGCUAUGUAAGCUACUAGCGUGAGCCGGGGCUCAUAACCUGUUAAGAAUAUGAAGGAGGCAAGGACACUGGUCGCGAUAUAAGGGUUACAGUCUGUGGGUUACUGGUGAACGGCAAGAAGACUUUAGGAGAUUCCUGUUAAGGAAUACCGAUCCAUCAGAAGAUGAGAUACUAAGACUUGCAUAACUUUUGUCUUAUAUACUAGUACCAAUGGAAGUAUCGUACAGUCGCCCACCAUCAACGCUGGACACGGGGAAACGUCCGAGAUACGCGGCCGAGACCCGAGGCAAGGUCGAGGCAUGGCCGAGGCAAGGUCGAGGCACGGCCGAGGCAAGGUCGAGGCACGGCCGAGGCAAGGUCGAGGCACGGCCGAGGCAUCGCCUAUCACGGCGGAUUCAUCACCUAACUACCACCUAUCUACGUUGGGAUAGGACCGGCCUUCAACACCUGGUAGGAAUACCGAUCGUUGUGAGAUAAACAUAUAAGGCAGGCGGCUGGCAGAGGUUAAGGCCUGGCUUCUGCUCCCGUCGCGUCCCGGCGCAUCCGGGUUCAAAUCCGCCUGCCGACCUCUGGGGGUGUUUGAGAGGUGAUGAAAUGGGAGGUGGCCCCCCAUCUUGUGGACGGUGUAGGACGUGAAAAAAUCAACUCGCGAGCUGACCAGGAACUAAGUUGACGCGCCGUUGAUCCGCUAGAUUUGGUUGGAUGCUGGUGGUGAGUUGCCGAACCCAACGAAUACUCUCAGAAGUCGGAUGGGGUGAAUGGCUUAGGGUGCCCCUCUAGCAGGGGAGAGCAGGGAAUUGCCUAGGGAAGGAGGCCACUGGUGAAGCGUAACCACCCUGUAAAAAGAAAAAAAAAUAAGCGUAGUCACCGCCCUUAAUACCGGCGCUAGCGGAAAACUCGUACAUUCCGCGAUCUAACUGCACGUACAUUCCGCGAUCUCACUGCGCUGUACUGACGGUGCCCAAAUGUCUAUCACUUAGCUACCGGAUAUGCAUCGGUAGCCCCAAACAGUUAUGGGGUAAGUCUUCCCCAAUAGUUAGUCACAGACCCGGGGUAAAAUCCGCUGGUCGACAACCCCACGAGUUGGGAGAGGACCGUUUCCUCACCAGAGUCUAACGUCGGCCGGCGGCAUUAUGCCGGGGACUCCGAUUAUGAGUCCGAUGCCGACGAGGAGGAUUUUCGCACUAGCCUGC